AGAGUUUGAUCAUGGCUCAGAUUGAACGCUGGCGGCAGGCCUAACACAUGCAAGUCGAACGGUAACAGGAAGCAGCUUGCUGCUUCGCUGACGAGUGGCGGACGGGUGAGUAAUGUCUGGGAAACUGCCUGAUGGAGGGGGAUAACUACUGGAAACGGUGGCUAAUACCGCAUAACGUCGCAAGACCAAAGAGGGGGACCUUCGGGCCUCUUGCCAUCAGAUGUGCCCAGAUGGGAUUAGCUAGUUGGUGAGGUAACGGCUCACCAAGGCGACGAUCCCUAGCUGGUCUGAGAGGAUGACCAGCCACACUGGAACUGAGACACGGUCCAGACUCCUACGGGAGGCAGCAGUGGGGAAUAUUGCACAAUGGGCGCAAGCCUGAUGCAGCCAUGCCGCGUGUAUGAAGAAGGCCUUCGGGUUGUAAAGUACUUUCAGCGGGGAGGAAGGUGUUGUGGUUAAUAACCGCAGCAAUUGACGUUACCCGCAGAAGAAGCACCGGCUAACUCCGUGCCAGCAGCCGCGGUAAUACGGAGGGUGCAAGCGUUAAUCGGAAUUACUGGGCGUAAAGCGCACGCAGGCGGUCUGUCAAGUCGGAUGUGAAAUCCCCGGGCUCAACCUGGGAACUGCAUUCGAAACUGGCAGGCUUGAGUCUUGUAGAGGGGGGUAGAAUUCCAGGUGUAGCGGUGAAAUGCGUAGAGAUCUGGAGGAAUACCGGUGGCGAAGGCGGCCCCCUGGACAAAGACUGACGCUCAGGUGCGAAAGCGUGGGGAGCAAACAGGAUUAGAUACCCUGGUAGUCCACGCCGUAAACGAUGUCUACUUGGAGGUUGUGCCCUUGAGGCGUGGCUUCCGGAGCUAACGCGUUAAGUAGACCGCCUGGGGAGUACGGCCGCAAGGUUAAAACUCAAAUGAAUUGACGGGGGCCCGCACAAGCGGUGGAGCAUGUGGUUUAAUUCGAUGCAACGCGAAGAACCUUACCUGGUCUUGACAUCCACGGAAGUUUUCAGAGAUGGACUGGUGCCUUCGGGAACCGUGAGACAGGUGCUGCAUGGCUGUCGUCAGCUCGUGUUGUGAAAUGUUGGGUUAAGUCCCGCAACGAGCGCAACCCUUAUCCUUUGUUGCCAGCGGUCCGGCCGGGAACUCAAAGGAGACUGCCAGUGAUAAACUGGAGGAAGGUGGGGAUGACGUCAAGUCAUCAUGGCCCUUACGACCAGGGCUACACACGUGCUACAAUGGCGCAUACAAAGAGAAGCGACCUCGCGAGAGCAAGCGGACCUCAUAAAGUGCGUCGUAGUCCGGAUUGGAGUCUGCAACUCGACUCCAUGAAGUCGGAAUCGCUAGUAAUCGUGGAUCAGAAUGCCACGGUGAAUACGUUCCCGGGCCUUGUACACACCGCCCGUCACACCAUGGGAGUGGGUUGCAAAAGAAGUAGGUAGCUUAACCUUCGGGAGGGCGCUUACCACUUUGUGAUUCAUGACUGGGGUGAAGUCGUAACAAGGUAACCGUAGGGGAACCUGCGGUUG
This is a ribosomal RNA of 1522 nucleotides. It matches the Rfam family "Bacterial small subunit ribosomal RNA".